RNAcentral lists this ribosomal RNA (2262 nucleotides) under Cutibacterium acnes HL063PA2. RNAcentral describes it as "bacterial LSU rRNA". It matches the Rfam family "Bacterial large subunit ribosomal RNA", at positions 1 to 2107 of the family's 2925-position model. Lineage: Bacteria; Bacillati; Actinomycetota; Actinomycetes; Propionibacteriales; Propionibacteriaceae. The record is from RNAcentral.
CAAAGUUGUGUAGUGCGAUCGGUGGAUGCCUUGGCACCAAGAGCCGAUGAAGGACGUUGUGACCUGCGAUAAGCCCUGGGGAGUUGGUGAGCGAGCUGUGAUCCGGGGGUGUCCGAAUGGGGAAACCUGGAAUGUCCGGAGUAGUGUCCGGUGGCCCUGCCCUGAAUGUAUAGGGGUGUGGGUGGUAACGCGGGGAAGUGAAACAUCUUAGUACCCGUAGGAAGAGAAAACAAGUGUGAUUCCGUGAGUAGUGGCGAGCGAAAGCGGAGGAGGCUAAACCGUGUGUGUGUUCAAGCCGGCAGGUGUUGCAUGUGCGGGGUUGUGGGGGCCUUGUGGUUCUGCUGCCGCAGGAUUGGCCAGUGAGAAAUGUUGCGUGAAGGUGAAGCGUCUGGGAAGGCGUACCGGAGUGGGUGAGAGUCCUGUAACUGUAAGCGUGGCACUGGUGUGGGGUUGCCCCGAGUAGCGUGGGACUCGUGGAAUUUCGCGUGAAUCUGGCGGGACCACCCGUCAAGCCUAAAUACUCCUUGGUGACCGAUAGUGGAUGAGUACCGUGAGGGAAGGGUGAAAAGUACCCCGGGAGGGGAGUGAAAGAGUUCCUGAAACCGGUCGCAUGCAAGCCGUCAGAGCCUGUGUGGUGAUGGCGUGCCUUUUGAAGAAUGAGCCUGCGAGUUAGUGAUGCGUGGCGAGGUUAACCCGUGGUGGGGGAGUCGUAGCGAAAGCGAGUCCGAUAAGGGCGUGAGUCGCGUGUUCUAGACCCGAAGCGGUGUGAUCUAUCCAUGGCCAGGAUGAAGCGUCGGUAAGACGUCGUGGAGGUCCGAACCCACUUCAGUUGAAAAUGGAGGGGAUGAGUUGUGGAUAGGGGUGAAAGGCCAAUCAAACACCGUGAUAGCUGGUUCUCCCCGAAAUGCAUUUAGGUGCAGCGUUGCGUGGUUCUUGUUGGAGGUAGAGCACUGGAUGGUCUAGGGGGCUUAUCGGCUUACCGAAAUCAGCCAAACUCCGAAUGCUGGCAAGUGUAGCGUGGCAGUGAGACGGCGGGGGAUAAGCUUCGUCGUCGAGAGGGAAACAGCCCAGAUCAUCAGCUAAGGCCCCUAAGUGGUGACUCAGUGGGAAAGGAUGUGGAGUUGCGUAGACAACCAGGAGGUUGGCUUGGAAGCAGCCAUCCUUGAAAGAGUGCGUAAUAGCUCACUGGUCAAGUGAUUCCGCGCCGAUAAUGUAGCGGGGCUUAAGUUAUCCGCCGAAGCUGUGGCAACCUGUGUGGUUGGGUAGGGGAGCGUCGUGUCAGUGGUGAAGCUGCCGGGUGACUGUGUGGUGGAGUUGAUGCGAGUGAGAAUGCAGGCAUGAGUAGCGUGUGACGGGUGGGAAUCCCGUCCGCCGAUUAUCCAAGGGUUCCAGGGUCAAGUUUGUCUGCCCUGGGUGAGUCGGGUCCUAAGGCGAGGCCGACAGGCGUAGUCGAUGGGUAACCAGUUGAUAUUCUGGUACCGGCUUGUCACCGUCCGUGUCGAGGUGUGUGAUGCUAAGCAUGUGAGCUUGUCUUGGGAGUGUUUUUGAUGCUUCUGGGGUGGGUGAGUGUGUGAACCGAUCAUGUAGUAGGCAAGCUGCGGAGGGACGCAGUGAGGUAGCUCAUCCCCGGUGAUGGUUGUCCGGGGCUAAGUGUGUGGACUGUCUGGUAGGUAAAUCCGCUGGGCGUGAAGGUUGAGGCAUGAUGGGGAGCCCACGGUUGUGGGUGAGUGAGUGAUCCUGUACUGUCGAGAAAAGCUUCGUGAGCGAGGUGGCGGGUCCGCCCGUACCCUAAACCGACACUGGUGGAUAGGUAGAGUAUACCGAGGCGAUCGAGUGAAUCGUGGUGAAGGAACUCGGCAAAAUGCCCCCGUAACUUUGGGAUAAGGGGGACCUGAGCUGUCGUGCACCCGUGCGGUGUGGUGGCGGUGAGGGGCGCAGAGUCCAGGGGGAAACGACUGUUUACCAAAAACACAGGUCCGUGCGAAGUCGUAAGACGAUGUAUACGGACUGACUCCUGCCCGGUGCUGGAAGGUUAAGGGGAACUGUGAGUGUAUGCGUAGCGGUGAACUUAAGCCCCAGUAAACGGCGGUGGUAACUAUAACCAUCCUAAGGUAGCGAAAUUCCUUGUCGGGUAAGUUCCGACCUGCACGAAUGGAGUAACGAUUUCCCUACUGUCUCCACCAUGAACUCGGUGAAAUUGCAUUACGAGUAAAGAUGCUCGUUACGCGCAGCAGGACGGAAAGACCCCGGGACCUUUACUAU